This 253-nucleotide ribosomal RNA is filed under the name uncultured bacterium. RNAcentral describes it as "partial 16S ribosomal RNA". It matches the Rfam family "Bacterial small subunit ribosomal RNA", at positions 524 to 776 of the family's 1533-position model. The record is from RNAcentral.
UACGAAGGGGGCUAGCGUUGUUCGGAAUUACUGGGCGUAAAGCGCACGUAGGCGGACUAUUAAGUCAGGGGUGAAAUCCCGGGGCUCAACCCCGGAACUGCCUUUGAUACUGGUAGUCUCGAGUCCGGAAGAGGUGAGUGGAAUUCCGAGUGUAGAGGUGAAAUGCGCAGAUAUCGGGAAGAACACCCGUGGCGAAGGCGGUUCUCUGGGACGGUACUGACGCUGAGACGCGAAAGCGUGGGGAGCGAACAGG